AGUGAACGCUGGCGGUAGGCCUAACACAUGCAAGUCGAACGGCAGCACAGGAGAGCUUGCUCUCUGGGUGGCGAGUGGCGGACGGGUGAGGAAUACAUCGGAAUCUACUCUGUCGUGGGGGAUAACGUAGGGAAACUUACGCUAAUACCGCAUACGACCUACGGGUGAAAGCAGGGGACCUUCGGGCCUUGCGCGAUUGAAUGAGCCGAUGUCGGAUUAGCUAGUUGGCGGGGUAAAGGCCCACCAAGGCGACGAUCCGUAGCUGGUCUGAGAGGAUGAUCAGCCACACUGGAACUGAGACACGGUCCAGACUCCUACGGGAGGCAGCAGCGGGGAAUCUUGGACAAUGGGGGAAACCCUGAUCCAGCGAUGCCGCGUGUGUGAAGAAGGCCUUCGGGUUGUAAAGCACUUUAAGUGGGGAAGAAAGGUAUCAAGUGAAUAACUUGGUGCUAUGACGGUACCCGCAGAAUAAGCACCGGCUAACUCUGUGCCAGCCGCCGCAGUAA
This 506-nucleotide ribosomal RNA is filed under the name uncultured bacterium. RNAcentral describes it as "partial 16S ribosomal RNA". It matches the Rfam family "Bacterial small subunit ribosomal RNA", at positions 29 to 523 of the family's 1533-position model. The record is from RNAcentral.